AAAUUCGAAUUACAUCAACAGAUCCGCCACAUGCAUAAGGAUAUGCCUUAUACAUACGAAACGUCAACAAAAACUGUCCAAAAAAAAAUUAAUUAAGCUCUAACAAUAGCAAGUAUCAGAGUAAAAUAAAAACUAUAUACUACAGCAACACUAUAAAUAUACAAUUAUCGCUACACCAAUGCUUAAAAUGGUACAAUAUCUCUGACAACUUCAAACCUCAAAAUACUAUACUA
RNAcentral lists this long non-coding RNA (233 nucleotides) under Ananas comosus (pineapple). RNAcentral describes it as "long non-coding RNA (ACOM_LNC037342)". Lineage: Eukaryota; Viridiplantae; Streptophyta; Magnoliopsida; Poales; Bromeliaceae. The record is from RNAcentral.